RNAcentral lists this unclassified non-coding RNA (1610 nucleotides) under Hevea brasiliensis (rubber tree). The record is from RNAcentral. Lineage: Eukaryota; Viridiplantae; Streptophyta; Magnoliopsida; Malpighiales; Euphorbiaceae.
AAAUCAAAUCAGACACGAGUCUAGCAGAGACGUUGCAGAUGGUGAGAGAGAGAGAGGUGGAGGAGACGCAGGAGAGGAGUCCAAGGAGUCCAGAGGCCGACCUCGGGAUGAAAGUUGAGGAUUUGUGGGAUGUGCAGGAGCCGCAGCUCAGUCCAACUGAGAAGCUCAACGCUUGUUUCGAGAGUAUCCCUGUCUCUGCCUUCCCAUCUGCGAAUUCCUCUCAAGUGGUCGAAAUCAAAUCAGACACGAGUCUAGCAGAGGCCGUGAAAAUACUAGCGGAUAACAAAAUAUUAAGCGCACCGGUGGUGGAUGUUGAUGCACCUGAGGAUGCCACUUGGAUGGACAGAUACCUCGGCGUUGUUGAGUUCGCCGGAAUUGCUGUGUGGAUUUUGCAUCAGUCAGAACCUCCAUCUCCUAGGAGUCAAAGCUCUGGAACAGCUCUUGCAGUGGCGGCUAAUGGAUUGACUAAUGCUGCAGGGCUUGGGACCUUAGGCCCUGAAGAUGCUUCAGCAACUUCUGGAAACUUUUUUGAGGCUUUGACUUCUUCUGAGUUCUAUAAAAGCAUGAAGGUUCGAGACAUCUCUGGAUCAUUCCGGUGGGCACCAUUUCUUGCUUUACAGAAAUCCAACUCCUUUUUGACGAUGCUCUUGUUGCUUUCAAAAUACAAAAUGAAGAGUGUUCCUGUUGUUGAUCCGGGUGAAGGGAAGAUUGAUAACAUAAUCACACAGUCUGCUGUUAUUCACAUGCUAGCAGAAUGUGCUGGGCUUCAAUGGUUUGAAAGCUGGGGAACAAAGAAACUUUCAGAAAUUGGUCUUCCCUCCAUGUCUCUUAAUCAAAUUGUCAAGGUGCAUGAGGAGGAACCGGUUCUCCAAGCCUUUAAGCUGAUGAGAAAAAAGAGAAUUGGAGCAAUACCUGUUGUUGAAAGUGAUGGUAAAAGGGCAGUGGGCAAUAUAAGUCUAAGAGAUGUUCAGUUCCUGUUAACUGCACCUGAGAUCUACCAUGAUUACAGGUCUAUAACUGCAAAGAACUUUUUGACGGCAGUUAGAAGCUACUUGAAGGAGCAUCAUGAAACCUCACCAAUGGUGAAUGGCAUGAUUACAUGCACAAAAGACCACACCAUUAAAGAAUUGAUUCUGAAACUUGAUUCCAAAAAAGUUCAUCGAAUAUAUGUUGUGGAUGAUGCUGGGAAUCUGGAAGGAGUGAUCACUCUGAGAGACAUCAUCUCAAGGCUUGUACAUGAGCCUCCUGGCUACUUUGGUGAUUUCUUUGAUGGAGUGCUGCCUUUGCCCCAGAACAGUAGAGUUUAAGAGGUAUCAAUAUUGAUGGUCUAGUCAUUUCCCUAAUGAUUGGCCACUCUGCUAAUCAUCUUUGAAUUGUUUGAUAGCGAGAAAAUGCGGUGACUGUAACAUAGUCGAGUGCCCAUGUAAUUAGUUUCUUCUACUUCAGUGGGGUUCCAUUUUCUGUGCAUCUUGAUGUAUCUACAAACUGAAUGUGACCUCUUUUGGGCUAAAAUCAAAUCAAAUAAUUAGGACUUCUCCAUGUUGUUCUUGUGGUUGUAAAUUCCAAAUACUGAGUUGGCAAGUUGAAAGGAGUGAGUUGAUUUGAUUUUA